This 301-nucleotide ribosomal RNA is filed under the name uncultured bacterium. RNAcentral's name for it is "partial 16S ribosomal RNA". It matches the Rfam family "Bacterial small subunit ribosomal RNA", at positions 509 to 807 of the family's 1533-position model. The record is from RNAcentral.
CAGCAGCCGCGGGAAUACAGAGGCCUCAAGCGUUGUUCGGAUUCAUUGGGCGUAAAGGGAGCGUAGGCGGUCGGGUAAGUUGGAUGUGAAAUCCUGGGGCUCAACCUCAGAACUGCAUUCAAUACUGCUUGGCUAGAGUAUUGGAGAGGUGAGUGGAAUUCACGGUGUAGCAGUGAAAUGCGUAGAUAUCGUGAGGAAGACCAGCGGCGAAGGCGGCUCACUGGACAAUUACUGACGCUGAUGCUCGAAGGCCAGGGGAGCAAACGGGAUUAGAUACCCCGGUAGUCCCUGUCUCUUAUAC